Long non-coding RNA from Rattus norvegicus (Norway rat), 1588 nucleotides. The record is from Ensembl. Lineage: Eukaryota; Metazoa; Chordata; Mammalia; Rodentia; Muridae.
CAAAGCAGAAGCUCCCGGUGCCCGCAGGAAGCCUCGCCCAGCUUGGUUCCCCACCCUCUAGCGCGCCCCUAGAAAGGGCCUGCCCUGAGGGGCGGAGCCAGCCACUCCCUCAGCCAAUGAGCCAGCGUCUGGGGCCGGCGCCGGGGGCGGGGCUGCACUUGACAGUGGCGGUCGCCGGGCAGCCGAGCGGGUGCAGCGGCGGAGCGCGGCGCGGGCAACGGGGAGGGCGCAACUCGGCGGCCCUGGGUGGAGCAUCUGGCGGCGGCGGUGCGAUGCUGCGGGUGUCCCGGGCUCUGGCAUCGCGGCCUCUUCCUAAGGUUUUUGAGAGUUGUCCUGCUGUCACGGAGUUGGGAGUUGAAUGGACGUCAUCUCCUGGCCUGGCAUAUCAGACUUGCUCAUAGAAUAUUUCUUCUCUCCAGACCACUGUGUGCCCUGUGUAUGGAGGGGCAACCCCAAGUCUGCCCCCUGCACCAUCCCUUAGGUCUGAUUUUGGAUGUCUAGAUGUGUGAAACCCCUGCCUUUUCAAGGGUCCCAUCCCCCACUCGGUGCUUAAGGAAUAAUCUACUCUCUCUGUCAUCUGAGGCUAUUUUAGUUCUGCGCACAGGAGCACACCUUGUUGAUUGGCAGCAACACAUCCCCUGCAGUGUUCACAGUGACUCACGUGUCCUACUAUCCCAACUGUCAGAGAAUUCCUGACAGAGGCCGGCCUACUUAAAAGGAAAGACUAAAAUGAUUUUUGUUUGUUUGUUUGUUUGUUUUGGGAAAGAAAUAGUAAUCCAGCAAAUCUCCAAAUUCCCUAGUACUGACCAAAAAGGAGUGAAUUUGAUGUCCAGGAACGGGAAGACUUCUUCACAGAGGGAAAAGCCUCGUCUUUGCGGUAGCCUGGUGACCUGCUGAUGGAUAAGCUAUUCCUAACUUGAUAUUUGACUGAGGAACUUGACGUCUGACUGGACAGCAUUAAAAGCCAUAUCACAAUUGUGACCCAGUAACUUUUGAAGCCGUGCCUAAGAAAAUUAAGUCUGUUAUCACUUAUGGAAUUUCUCUUCCGGUUGGUUGUGUGUGUGGGCGUGCACGCAUGCGUUUGCUUUCUUGGUGUGGUUUUCAACUCUCUUUGGUUCAGGAUGACUUCACAGCACUAAAAUUAAAAGGAAACAAAUACAUUUGGUGCUGUGAAAUACAUUUCAGGCUGCUACCUGAAAAUAAACCCCUAUUCUUGGCAUUUGGCCGCUAUGACCCCGAGUGGUUACCGUCUCAGAGUCUGUGUGAAUACUUUGGAGGUUCAAAGAAAGCCCCCUGUGCAAUGGUUUGCCCCCGUCCUCUCCCACAGCAGUAAGGUUUUCGUGUCCAAGACAGCUAACUCCGUUAUUCUCUUGCUUCUAAACCACAGCCCCAAAUGCCAGGGAAAUAAAACAUGGCAUUUGAUUGUCGUGGCAUUCUUGCCCCAGAAUGGAAGGUGAACCCUACACUUCUUUAACGGACUAGCAACCUGUGAGACUGUGUGGAGUUAGUGACAUUUUCCAGUUUCCUAAAUGUAUCACAGAAGCAUCAUGUGCGAAGAUGCCAUAAACAUACAACCGUCCAAAACCAA